This 168-nucleotide ribosomal RNA is filed under the name Vishniacozyma tephrensis. RNAcentral describes it as "partial 18S ribosomal RNA". It matches the Rfam family "Eukaryotic small subunit ribosomal RNA", at positions 1666 to 1831 of the family's 1831-position model. The record is from RNAcentral. Lineage: Eukaryota; Fungi; Basidiomycota; Tremellomycetes; Tremellales; Bulleribasidiaceae.
ACACCGCCUGUCGCUACUACCGAUUGAAUGGCUUAGUGAGAUUUCCGGAUUGGCGUUGGGGAGCCGGCAACGGCACCCCUUGGCCGAGAAGUUACUCAAACUUGGUCAUUUAGAGGAAGUAAAAGUCAUAACAAGGUUUCCGUAGGUGAACCUGCGGAAGGAUCAUUA